RNAcentral lists this ribosomal RNA (2989 nucleotides) under Salmonella enterica. RNAcentral describes it as "23S ribosomal RNA". It matches the Rfam family "Bacterial large subunit ribosomal RNA". Lineage: Bacteria; Pseudomonadati; Pseudomonadota; Gammaproteobacteria; Enterobacterales; Enterobacteriaceae. RNAcentral also lists the same sequence under 2 other names. The record is from RNAcentral.
GGUUAAGCGACUAAGCGUACACGGUGGAUGCCCUGGCAGUCAGAGGCGAUGAAGGACGUGCUAAUCUGCGAUAAGCGCCGGUAAGGUGAUAUGAACCGUUAUAACCGGCGAUUUCCGAAUGGGGAAACCCAGUGUGACUCGUCACACUAUCAUUAACUGAAUCCAUAGGUUAAUGAGGCGAACCGGGGGAACUGAAACAUCUAAGUACCCCGAGGAAAAGAAAUCAACCGAGAUUCCCCCAGUAGCGGCGAGCGAACGGGGAGGAGCCCAGAGCCUGAAUCAGCAUGUGUGUUAGUGGAAGCGUCUGGAAAGGCGCGCGAUACAGGGUGACAGCCCCGUACACAAAAGCGCAUGUGCUGUGAGCUCGAUGAGUAGGGCGGGACACGUGGUAUCCUGUCUGAAUAUGGGGGGACCAUCCUCCAAGGCUAAAUACUCCUGACUGACCGAUAGUGAACCAGUACCGUGAGGGAAAGGCGAAAAGAACCCCGGCGAGGGGAGUGAAAAAGAACCUGAAACCGUGUACGUACAAGCAGUGGGAGCACAGGUUUACCUGUGUGACUGCGUACCUUUUGUAUAAUGGGUCAGCGACUUAUAUUCUGUAGCAAGGUUAACCGAAUAGGGGAGCCGGAGGGAAACCGAGUCUUAAUUGGGCGUUAAGUUGCAGGGUAUAGACCCGAAACCCGGUGAUCUAGCCAUGGGCAGGUUGAAGGUUGGGUAACACUAACUGGAGGACCGAACCGACUAAUGUUGAAAAAUUAGCGGAUGACCUGUGGCUGGGGGUGAAAGGCCAAUCAAACCGGGAGAUAGCUGGUUCUCCCCGAAAGCUAUUUAGGUAGCGCCUCGUGAACUCAUCUCCGGGGGUAGAGCACUGUUUCGGCUAGGGGGCCAUCCCGGCUUACCAACCCGAUGCAAACUGCGAAUACCGGAGAAUGUUAUCACGGGAGACACACGGCGGGUGCUAACGUCCGUCGUGAAGAGGGAAACAACCCAGACCGCCAGCUAAGGUCCCAAAGUCAUGGUUAAGUGGGAAACGAUGUGGGAAGGCCCAGACAGCCAGGAUGUUGGCUUAGAAGCAGCCAUCAUUUAAAGAAAGCGUAAUAGCUCACUGGUCGAGUCGGCCUGCGCGGAAGAUGUAACGGGGCUAAACCAUGCACCGAAGCUGCGGCAGCGAACGUAUCACUUAAAGCGAUUCAGCGGGUUACGAUUGACGGAGCGAAGCGACGUCAAAGCGUAUACAAAGUCGAGUCGGUUUAAGGAUACGUUCGUUGGGUAGGGGAGCGUUCUGUAAGCCUGCGAAGGUGGCCUGUGAGGGUUGCUGGAGGUAUCAGAAGUGCGAAUGCUGACAUAAGUAACGAUAAAGCGGGUGAAAAGCCCGCUCGCCGGAAGACCAAGGGUUCCUGUCCAACGUUAAUCGGGGCAGGGUGAGUCGACCCCUAAGGCGAGGCCGAAAGGCGUAGUCGAUGGGAAACGGGUUAAUAUUCCCGUACUUGGUGUUACUGCGAAGGGGGGACGGAGAAGGCUAUGUUGGCCGGGCGACGGUUGUCCCGGUUUAAGCGUGUAGGUGUGUGUUCCAGGUAAAUCCGGUUCACUUUAACACUGAGGCGUGAUGACGAGGCACUACGGUGCUGAAGCAACAAAUGCCCUGCUUCCAGGAAAAGCCUCUAAGCAUCAGGUAACAUCAAAUCGUACCCCAAACCGACACAGGUGGUCAGGUAGAGAAUACCAAGGCGCUUGAGAGAACUCGGGUGAAGGAACUAGGCAAAAUGGUGCCGUAACUUCGGGAGAAGGCACGCUGACACGUAGGUGAAGUGAUUUACUCAUGGAGCUGAAGUCAGUCGAAGAUACCAGCUGGCUGCAACUGUUUAUUAAAAACACAGCACUGUGCAAACACGAAAGUGGACGUAUACGGUGUGACGCCUGCCCGGUGCCGGAAGGUUAAUUGAUGGGGUCAGCGCAAGCGAAGCUCCUGAUCGAAGCCCCGGUAAACGGCGGCCGUAACUAUAACGGUCCUAAGGUAGCGAAAUUCCUUGUCGGGUAAGUUCCGACCUGCACGAAUGGCGUAAUGAUGGCCAGGCUGUCUCCACCCGAGACUCAGUGAAAUUGAACUCGCUGUGAAGAUGCAGUGUACCCGCGGCAAGACGGAAAGACCCCGUGAACCUUUACUAUAGCUUGACACUGAACAUUGAGCCUUGAUGUGUAGGAUAGGUGGGAGGCUUUGAAGUGUGGACGCCAGUCUGCAUGGAGCCGACCUUGAAAUACCACCCUUUAAUGUUUGAUGUUCUAACGUGGACCCGUUACCCGGGUUGCGGACAGUGUCUGGUGGGUAGUUUGACUGGGGCGGUCUCCUCCUAAAGAGUAACGGAGGAGCACGAAGGUUGGCUAAUCCUGGUCGGACAUCAGGAGGUUAGUGCAAUGGCAUAAGCCAGCUUGACUGCGAGCGUGACGGCGCGAGCAGGUGCGAAAGCAGGUCAUAGUGAUCCGGUGGUUCUGAAUGGAAGGGCCAUCGCUCAACGGAUAAAAGGUACUCCGGGGAUAACAGGCUGAUACCGCCCAAGAGUUCAUAUCGACGGCGGUGUUUGGCACCUCGAUGUCGGCUCAUCACAUCCUGGGGCUGAAGUAGGUCCCAAGGGUAUGGCUGUUCGCCAUUUAAAGUGGUACGCGAGCUGGGUUUAGAACGUCGUGAGACAGUUCGGUCCCUAUCUGCCGUGGGCGCUGGAGAACUGAGGGGGGCUGCUCCUAGUACGAGAGGACCGGAGUGGACGCAUCACUGGUGUUCGGGUUGUCAUGCCAAUGGCACUGCCCGGUAGCUAAAUGCGGAAGAGAUAAGUGCUGAAAGCAUCUAAGCACGAAACUUGCCCCGAGAUGAGUUCUCCCUGAGACUUAGAGUCUCCUGAAGGAACGUUGAAGACGACGACGUUGAUAGGCCGGGUGUGUAAGCGCAGCGAUGCGUUGAGCUAACCGGUACUAAUGAACCGUGAGGCUUAACCUU